This is a long non-coding RNA of Folsomia candida, 6887 nucleotides long. RefSeq lists it as uncharacterized. Lineage: Eukaryota; Metazoa; Arthropoda; Collembola; Entomobryomorpha; Isotomidae. The record is from RefSeq and is a predicted model, not a curated record. The transcript has 2 exons.
UCCGUGUGUAUACUUGAAGCUAAUACAGAAUGAGGAAAAGAUUGCAAUUAUUUCGUAAACUUAACGGAGGGUACCGAGAAUCGUAGUCAUAUAGGUACCAUAUAUGUGUGUAUAACAGGUCAGAUAAAAAUGUGAAAUAGAUUAUUGUUUCAACAUAACUUGGUAACGGAUAAAGUACAGGAUUCCGUAGUGAAAAUAGACAUUGCAAGUUUAACCGGAAGACAAUUUUCCAAACCGAAUUAGGUUAACUAUUUAAAAUAGUCGAGUACGUAAAGGUCAAAUUAUCGCAAUAAUCAACGGAUUUGGUAAUUUCUUUUAUAUCUCCGCACUUUCUCCCCUAACUUUGACGAAAACUGACGAGCAGACAAACACGUUUAAAAUCUCAUGAUUCGUAUGGAUUAAAAGUUCACGAUGUGAUUAAUGUCUUCUAAAAUCUGUUAAUGAUGAAGACCGUAAGAGAUAAUCAUUACUGAAGAAAGUUGGAGUAAAUCGCGUACUCUUGUUGCGACAGUGAUGCGUAAGGGAGCACGACACGAAUUCGGGGCAGGAAAAUUUUCUCCUUAUUUAGUAUAAAAUAAAUCAUAAUGAAAAAGGUGCCCAAUUCUAUAAGGUACCGAAAUUGAUAACACAUUAAAAUCCCAUUUGAUCAGGAUAGAUGAUAAAAGAGAAAACUAUGUCCAUUUUUUCCAGAUUCAGAGACAAUUCGUAGGAUGGUAUAUGCUUUUUUGGAGUAAUAUUUUUACAAAAUGCAAGUUAUUUUCAAGUAAAUUAUACAACUAAAAACUUCCGAAAUGCAACUAAUUUUAAAGAAAUACAUACAGAAUUAAAAUUAGAUAAUAAUCAGGCAAUAAUAGCUAUAAGUAAACUAAAUCAUAAAUAUUUGCAUUGUUUAUAAAAUUUCAUAAAUAUUUCAGACAUUCAUUAUCACAAUUUAAAAAUAUAACAUGGACAAAUCGAUAUGAUUUGAUACAGUCUAAUCCUGUGUGAAUUAUAAUUAUCAUUAUUUUUCUGGAGAGAGAGAGAGAUUGAGCGAGUGGAGAGAGAAGAGAAUACCCGAGCUGACAGAGGUGAAGAUUUGGUAAUGAUGCACGCAACGAUUUGCUAAUUAAGAAUCGUCACCAAAAUUUAAAUGUUGAUUUAGUAGCAUAUGCAUACCGAAUAUUCACCGUUAAGAUGCAAGUGGCGAUAAAAUAUUGGUCAGGUAUUGAUAUUUCAUUACGCAUAAACAGCGCUUACACUCAGUACCAUUUUGGUAGCUAGCUUUGAGUACCUAAUCAACGCUGAAAUUUCGUUGCUCAAAACUUGCAGAUUUAGUAGCACAAUAUUGGCGUUGAUAAAUAAUUCCUGUACAGGCACCUUGUGGGUACGGAAAAAUCAAUGCCGGAUCGGUGCUCAUUAUCUUCACCACAUCAACACUAUCUCAGCAUUGCCUGUAUGUGAGACGCCACCGCCACUUUUAUCUUUCAUUUUUUGUUUGUGAAUCAAAUAAAAUCAAAGUAUCAUUCGCAUUUAUUUCGUCAUGUCUGACAAAAUUUUAAAGCAAUUUUGUGUCGUCGAGUUUAUUGCUGACCAGACUAUUGAGGUUAUUCCAAAAACUUGGCUUUCAGAAGACAACAAAAAGUGUACAUUUCCAUCGAACAGGCCGAAGGGUUUUAAAAAAAUUCAAGAAGAUCCUCAUUCACGACCGGACCCUUUAUGGAAGAGCUGGGAGAUCGUUGUCAAGACAAGUUCUGGUAAGACUUUUUUAUAAAUGCUUUAGACCUAAACAAUGAUUAAAUAAUUAUUUUUUUGCAGAUAGUUUUAAUCGUGCUAAUACUAAAGCCAAGAAGCAUUUAAAGCCAAGUUAUAUUGAUACCAGCGACAUUGAAAUUGGUGCUGGAUCUUCACAAUCCACGGGACAAGUGGAUGUUGAAGGCAAUGAAGAAAUUAGUAUCACGAAUCAAGCAAUUGAACCAAUUCCUAUCACAAUUAAUUAUGAUGAGCGUCUCUCCACUUUAAUGCAGGAAUUUCGGGGUAUGUAAUUAUUUUUAUUAUAAAUCGUAAAUCGUGGUAUAAGUGGAUAUUGCAAUUAAUUUCAGCUUUUAACUCAGCAUUUCAGGUGACUUCGCUCCAAAAUCAACUGAUUUUACAAGAAGACAUCAAAGACCUGAAAACAAUAAUAUUGCGGUCUCUCAGUACUCCUUCACAGUUACGGUCAAGUAAUAUCGUUUGGCCAAUCAAAAACCAAGAACAAUUACAGCAAGUGAACGAGAUCUUUGCUGCCGACAAUACUUUAUUUAAUCUUGAGGUAAUUUUUAAUAAGUUUAUCUUGUUAUGCAAUUUUAUGUAUCAGAAAUGGCGUACUAAUAAGUUAUCAUAUGUACAUAUAUUUUAAAGGUUACGUUCUUCUCGCGACUAGGAGGGGAUUCAGUGACGCUUGCUGUCAACAACACGUUAAAGGCAAUCAUCAAACAUGAGUUUGCACUAAUUUUGAGGUUCACAGAUUCCUCUAACAAAGCGGCAUUUGGUGGAACUCUGUGCUGUAAAUUAGUUAUGUAAACGUCUCGAGAGAUAUAAAAGCGAGAUAUUAAAAUUAAUUUGUUCAUUUAUUUGGUGUAAUUUACAGAAUCCGUCCGCCAGUUCUACUACAAAGAUGGGAAUGUUCUCUCUGAGAAAAUAAAGCUGGAUUUAGUUGAAAGCAGAUUGGAUUCAUUCAUUGCUAAGUGGCUUCGGGAUUCAGUUAACAGGGGAGAGGAAGGGAAACAAAAGCGUUCGAAGGCGAAAAAUGCAGGCACCGAGGUCAACAAAGCGCGGGAGGGUCUAGAGGCGGCUGAGUCAAAUGCUGAAUCAGAUUAGAACCGUACGUGUAACUACAAGUUUGCCACAAUCAUCAAACAAUUUCGAAACAACCCCAUUUGUAAUAAAUAAUAGUCUAAGUUGUGUUGAACCUUAUUAAAAUGACAAUAUUGUAAAUUCAUCUCAAAUUGAAUACAGUAGUAGUAGUAGUGAUGAUGAAAGUAAUCAUGAAUUACACAAUGAGAUUGGUAGGAUUUCCAACCUUAACCACAUGUCGUCCCUUAGAAACUGGGCAGUAAACCACAAUAUUACUCACGCUGCCUUAAAAUAUUUAUUAGAAAUAUGUCGCAAGUGGUUACCUACUUAUGGCUUACCAAUUGAUCCGAGAACAUUAUUACAAACUCAGCGAGAAGUUCGGCAAGAUAUCGAAGGAGGCCAAUUUUAUCACUUUGGUUUAGAGAAAGGGUUAGCUAGAAUCUUAAAUUAUAAGCAAUUUGGCCAAAAAUGUACCAAGAAAGUGGAAGUUAGUGGGGCUCCACUACAACUCCACAACUCAACCCAACUCAACUCAACUCAACCACAACUCCAUGGGGCCCUUGAUAAUUUUAGUGCAUUUCCAUUCGAAAAUUUUAUGCAAAUAAUAAAGCGUAUGCUACGUUCUAAAAAUGCACCGUUAGCUCAAGUAGUUCGACGGCUAUCAGAAAUAGAUUCAGUCCCCCCUAAAUUUUCUGCCCAAAAACUAAAUUCCUCCCUAACCCGAUUUUUUUGCAACGAAACACAACCAAAAUCUUAUCCUAUUUAUUGCAAACAAUUAGAGAUAGGGUAUGCACAUAAACUGGGAAUUUUACAAAAAUUAGACCCCACAAUUCUAUCAAGGAAGUGUACUCUUCUUCCUUGUAAAAAGAAAUAUUUUUUCGUUUCAUUGUGUAAUUCAUAUGAAAUCAAUCAUACUUAGCUAUGUUUAUUGCUUAUAUAUGUUAUAAUUCUGUACAUAUAAAAUAUGAAUCGAUUCUUGUUCCAAAUUAAUUGUAAUAAAUAAUUUUGAUUUUUGGAUACGAGAUUUGCAAUACUCAUUUACACAUUGUCAUUAUUUCAAUGCCGAAAUUUCGUUAAGUACUGUGUAACAAAUAACCGGCAUUUAGACAAUGCUGUUAACUAGGUAUUGAUUAGGCAACGAAAUUUCGUUAAACGAAGAUCGAACCUCGUUCAUUCGUUACUGGUCAUCAACGCCCAAUCAAUACAUGAUCCUGUCCCAUUUCGUUGCUGUUUCGGCACCAAGAGGUGCAGGUACCCAAUCAACGCCUAUCUGGCAGCUCGGGUAUGCUGUAAAAUUGAACAACAAUAAUUAAAACCAAAAUCGGAAGUUCGCAUGCAUAAAUGAUAAAUUUAUAAAUAAGAAAACUUAUCCCGUCACCAAUUUCUACCAAUUUAUAUAAGCGGCCAAGCAGAGAAACUGAAAUUUAAAAGAAAAUAUUAAUUUUCUUAAAUAAAAACAAUGAUAUUGCGGGUAUCGUCUUGCUCUACAGGAUACCAGACUAACUGAAAAUAAAAUAAAAUGACAUAUUCAAAUGAAAAAUUAAGAAUAUAAUUCAGUGUCAAUUUUGAGCCGUAUUAGACGUUGCUCGAUUUAAUUAAAUCCACAACUUAUGAAGUUUUUACCAUUUUAAUACCUGACAUAACUAAAACAUUUCGUUUACCGUGUAACCUUGUGUAAGACUUUAAAGAGAUUUUUCCAGUCCUUCCUCAAUUGUUAUUCCGUUUACAUAUGAUGUUAUUUUACCAAUAAUCCACCGUCUUUCACGUCGUUCAUAAUUGUCAUAAUAAUGACAUGCUCAUAAAAAAUGAAAUUUCUUACAAUAAGCAAUAUUUGGGACUUACGUAACGACAUAUUCUCCUGCCAAUUGUCAAGUUUUAGUUCACAGGCACAUCAUAAUUUUAUUUUCGUAAUUCAUAAGUUAUAAUUUAAUUUUUUAAAUAUUUUGAAUGGACGACGCAAUUGACGUGAGUCCGCCGAUUGUGAACAUAGCGAUAAAAAUAAUAAAAUCCAUGUCUGGAUGAGGUGCGUAAUUUUUGACUACCCAAAAUUUUGCUUUUAAAAUCGAAGUAUGAAUAUCAUAGGUCAGGAUUAGUGAAAAUAUUCAAUUACUUGAAUCCAUGGUGUCUUUUCUUGUGUGGUGCAACAAAUUCAUCUCCACAUUUAUGUACGUUCCAUAAGAUUACCAUUUUUCCUCUGCCUUGAUAACUGAUUUGCACAAAUGCUUGUGUUGAGUUUGGUAAAAAAUUGAACCUAAAAUUACCAGUGAACUUAUCCAUCCAUUGUGUAUUGUCAUGCAAUUUUGCUGAUAGAAACUUGUUAUCUAAAAAAACGACAUUUACUCGGUUUACGCUAUUUACCAACUUUACGAAAAUUUACGAAGGCUACGGAAAUAGUAGUGAUCACAAUAUUCUAAAUUAUAACUAGAGGUAGAAAUUAAUGCAAUAGUUCUUCCCGAAUUGUGAUACAUAUGUAAUUACUUAUAAAGGCAACGGCAAGACCCGUGUCCCAUUUUCGGAACGAUCAUAAUACACCUAAUAAAAGCUGGGUCGGGAUUUUGCAAUACUUUUGUCAAACCCAUUUUCUUGUGAAAGAAUUAAUUUAAAUUAAUGCAGGUUUUGAUUUUGUUUAUACGCAGUUAGGUGGUCAGCCCUUCUGAAUAAAACAUUGACCUUUAUCCAAAGUAUUCCUUUGACCGAAGAAUACUUAUGAUACGGAUCCAUUUUAAGAUAUUAAUCGAGUACGAGUGAAAACUCAAUCUUUCUAAGUGGACAAGUUUUUCACGAAAAUCUUAAAAACGACGAGAUAAUAAAUAUGUAUGCGCGAAACAACUUCCUAUUUUCCAUCUAGCUUAUGACGUAUUCUAAUCAGUGUGUAAUAAGCAAAGGAAUGCAUCCUACACAAUUUCCCUAUCAAUUGUGAAUCCUUACAAAACCCAUCAGAUAAGAGAUACUGUAGCGACCAGUUCCCUUCUGAUUUCCCUGGCGCGUCCAACACGCGUCCCUUUAGGACCGGAAUUCGAAUUUCCUAUUACCUCUGCAGGAAUGAUAUCCUCUGCAGGAAUUAUUAUAUUUUGCAGGAAUUAUCAAUUUCAUCUGCAGUGAUUUUGCCAGUUAUUAUGCAUAUUCCAUGCAUUUACAUAAUUUUUCGUAUUUCUAUUUACCACGUGGACCACUGGCCGAAGUCACGUCUGACUUAAACUCUGCUUCCUCCUAAUCUAUUGCAGCUCUCACACCACUGCAACUGAUUACCUAGUCCCCUUUUUAUAUUAUUUUUCCAUUUUAUUAUGCUUGCAUGUCGUCACCAAUACAUGCGUGAAUAUGAACUCACAUUAAGAAAAUGGUGAACGGAGAAAGUGACUUUUUCACAUUUUUUUCUAAUUGACUUAUUUUUAUCGUUUGUUGUGCAGAAACUAUCCACAUUAUAUUAUAUAAAUUUAAGCAGAUUCAAAUAAGCAGAAAAUAUGGUGCGUGCACCCCACACGGCCUUAGAUUAUGAAAUGCAUUCAAACGUAUGAACCCCAUUCUUUUUUUUCAAAUUUUCAUCAUUGUCAAUUGCUAAAUUUCCGAUGAUUUUUUACCUACUUUUUAUGGCGAUUCCCCUUUUGUUAAUUAAUUCUACGCCAGUUGCACCAAACGAUGAUGCAAGAAAUUGCGAUUUUAUGUAAUUAAAACUACGGUGCCGCCCAGUGAAUGAAUGAUAUGUGCACGGGAGAAAGUAAUAAUAUGAAAAACCUGUCUCAUUUGCACAUUACAAGUUGAUCAUCGUGGCUUAAAAGUAUAUUGAGGACAUACUUAAAUAUUAAGGUUUUCGUUCGUGUGAUGAGGUACGGUAUGCAUUAUGAAAAAGCUGAACCCAGAUUAUGUCAUACAGUAAAUAAGUAAUUUUAAGUCCUAUAAAGAAUGUAUCUCACCUAACCCUUCCGAUACGUAAUGUGUGAUCUUAUUAAUCAGUGUGGUUGUGGGAAAAUGAGAAUCGGUUUGGCAUAAGCUAAGUGUAUAAAGUGCAGUCACAGUGGCACUGUCACACUGCAUGCAUGAGUAUUAUUAACCCUGUGCCUCAUGCCUAUGUACACAAA